This 244-nucleotide ribosomal RNA is filed under the name uncultured bacterium. RNAcentral's name for it is "partial 16S ribosomal RNA". It matches the Rfam family "Bacterial small subunit ribosomal RNA", at positions 27 to 257 of the family's 1533-position model. The record is from RNAcentral.
GAUGAAACGCUAGCUACAGGCUUAAACACAUGCAAGUCGAGGGGCAGCAUGGUCUUAGCUUGCUAAGGCCGAUGGCGACCGGCGCACGGGUGAGUAAACACGUAUCCAACCUGCCGUCUACUCUUGGACAGCCUUCUGAAAGGAAGAUUAAAUACAAAGAUGGCAUCAUGAGUCCGCAUGUUCACAUGAUUAAAAGGUAUUCCGGUAGACGAUGGGGAUGCGUUCCAUUAGAUAGUAGGCGGGG